This 511-nucleotide ribosomal RNA is filed under the name uncultured bacterium. RNAcentral's name for it is "bacterial SSU rRNA". It matches the Rfam family "Bacterial small subunit ribosomal RNA", at positions 37 to 518 of the family's 1533-position model. The record is from RNAcentral.
UGGCGGCGUGCCUAAUACAUGCAAGUCGAACGGUCUUUCUAUGGAAGCUUGCUUCCACUGAGAAGAUAGUGGCGAACGGGUGAGUAACACGUGGGUAACCUGCCCAUAAGAGGGGGGAUAACAUCCGGAAACGGGUGCUAAUACCGCAUAGUUUUUCUUGAUCGCAUGAUUGAGAAAGGAAAGACGGCCUUUGUGCUGUCGCUUAUGGAUGGACCCGCGGCGUAUUAGUUAGUUGGUGAGGUAAUGGCUCACCAAGACGAUGAUACGUAGCCGACCUGAGAGGGUGAUCGGCCACAUUGGGACUGAGACACGGCCCAAACUCCUACGGGAGGCAGCAGUAGGGAAUCUUCCGCAAUGGACGAAAGUCUGACGGAGCAACGCCGCGUGAGUGAAGAAAGGGUUUUCGGAUCGUAAAACUCUGUUGUCAGAGAAGAACAAGUUGGAGAGUAACUGCUCCAGCCUUGACGGUAUCUGACCAGAAAGCCACGGCUAACUACGUGCCAGCCGCCGC